CCGGAGAAUGUUAUCACGGGAGACACACGGCGGGUGCUAACGUCCGUCGUGAAGAGGGAAACAACCCAGACCGCCAGCUAAGGUCCCAAAGUCAUGGUUAAGUGGGAAACGAUGUGGGAAGGCCCAGACAGCCAGGAUGUUGGCUUAGAAGCAGCCAUCAUUUAAAGAAAGCGUAAUAGCUCACUGGUCGAGUCGGCCUGCGCGGAAGAUGUAACGGGGCUAAACCAUGCACCGAAGCUGCGGCAGCGAACGUAUCACUUAAAGCGAUUCAGCGGGUUACGAUUGACGGAGCGAAGCGACGUCAAAGCGUAUACAAAGUCGAGUCGGUUUAAGGAUACGUUCGUUGGGUAGGGGAGCGUUCUGUAAGCCUGYGAAGGUGUGUCGUGAGGCAUGCUGGAGGUAUCAGAAGUGCGAAUGCUGACAUAAGUAACGAUAAAGCGGGUGAAAAGCCCGCUCGCCGGAAGACCAAGGGUUCCUGUCCAACGUUAAUCGGGGCAGGGUGAGUCGACCCCUAAGGCGAGGCCGAAAGGCGUAGUCGAUGGGAAACGGGUUAAUAUUCCCGUACUUGGUGUUACUGCGAAGGGGGGACGGAGAAGGCUAUGUUGGCCGGGCGACGGU
Molecule: ribosomal RNA, 618 nt
Filed under: Salmonella enterica subsp. enterica serovar Infantis
Lineage: Bacteria; Pseudomonadati; Pseudomonadota; Gammaproteobacteria; Enterobacterales; Enterobacteriaceae
Description: partial 23S ribosomal RNA
Source: RNAcentral